This 253-nucleotide ribosomal RNA is filed under the name uncultured bacterium. RNAcentral describes it as "partial 16S ribosomal RNA". It matches the Rfam family "Bacterial small subunit ribosomal RNA", at positions 524 to 776 of the family's 1533-position model. The record is from RNAcentral.
UACGGAGGGUGCGAGCGUUGUUCGGAAUCACUGGGCGUAAAGCGCGUGUAGGCGGCUUCUUAAGUCCGAUGUGAAAGCCCGGGGCUCACCCCCGGAAGUGCAUUGGAUACUGGGAAGCUGGAGUACCGGAGAGGAGGGUGGAAUUCCUGGUGUAGCAGUGAAAUGCGUAGAGAUCGGGAGGAACAUCUGUGGCGAAGGCGACUGCCUGGACCAGCACUGACACUGAGGCACGAAAGCGUGGGGAGCAAACAGG